AAAGAGGCUUGCAACCACUUAGAAGCCUCAAUUAAAAUCAUAUAUACUUGGUCUUAAUACUCCUUCAGAUUAUUGAAACCUUCUUUUCUUUCCUUUUUCUUUUUUACUAUUGAUUUCCAGAGACUUGAUGAAAAGUAAGAGAUUACGAUGUAGUUGACGGAAGAUCAUUUUUAUUACAAUUAAGAGCCCAAAACCUCUUAAUGGUUCAACAGUAUAGAUGGAUUUAAGAUCCACUCAGAAGAUUUAACAAGAAGCAUAGCAAGUAGGUAGAUAUUCA
Molecule: unclassified non-coding RNA, 277 nt
Filed under: Hevea brasiliensis (rubber tree)
Lineage: Eukaryota; Viridiplantae; Streptophyta; Magnoliopsida; Malpighiales; Euphorbiaceae
Source: RNAcentral